CCCAAAAGAAAUAUCCAUCGAUCAGAUCCAGGAGCCUAACCGGCCACCAGCACCUCCCUGGCGCCCCUGUUCUACUCCCACGCGAUCGGCGAGCCGCCAGGCGGCCAUGGCCAGGGCUGUUGCCAUCGCCUGCUCGGCGAUCGGACGUGCGCACGGCGGCGCGGACAGCGGACGGCGCGACUAAUCUAUCCCCGCUCACUUCAGUUCCGAUCUCUGCAGUCGGCAGCAGAGAGCAGACAUUGAUUCAGUUUGAAACCAACAUCCCACGGAUUCAGGUAUAAUAUGCUAAUUAGAUGUAUUAAUCCAUCACUUCUGAAAUUGGGGCCUCUUCUCUCAUGCCAAUUCUUAUUUCUUGGUCGAAUUGAAUUCAUCUAUAGGGGCAUGAUUUUCUUCUUGUACUGCCAAACACUGUUUUUUUUUUUUGAGAAUUACACAAACUGAUCAAUCAGCCUGGUUAAAGUCUUUCCUCAAUGUAUCACUCAGCUCAUCUUGCAUGCCGGCAAAGAUCGCCCAACUUAGAUGCAAAAGCUGCUAGGGCAUGAGCAAGUUUGUUCUUGUCCCUCUGAAGCCAUUUUUUCAGAUGUGAUCCAAAAUGUCUACACCCCAACGAGAAGAGCGGGGUCCCCUGAUAGUCCCUGGCAACUGCAUUGCACCGCACCCGCUCUCACCCGUCGCGGCAACAAAGGGCGCGUCUGCAUUUAGUUUAAACCACGCCGGUGAUUGGAGGGCGCCAUUGCUCUCUGAUCGUACUCAGAGGAACCGGGCACUGAUCGUCAUACAAAUUCAUACAGAAAACGCCCCUCUCGGCCUCUGAUUUCCCCUGUGCGAUCCUGACUUCUUCCUCAUACUUGAGCAGGAAAGCAACUGAUCCCGAGAUGGUUUCCUUUCCAUUACUGUGGAUUAUAUUAUCCCGGAGAAACCAUGCCCGCCAUAACAUGAGUAGGAUUUUGUUUCGGGUAUCACCAUCGCAUGUAUUUAGGAGGUUCUGAAGCCAAUCCUCCCCGUGUACCGGAAAGCAUUUUCUUUUGGGAGCCUCCAAUGAUCUCUCAUUGCUUGUCUCAGGGCUCUACUUUUCAUACACGAUAUAACAUCAUGGAACUCAUCUUCCUCCGUGUUGCCGCAAAUAUCACAAGUGUUGUCCGUAGCAACAGUUCGUCUGCAUUUGUUAGCUUUGGUGGCUAGAUGUUUGUAGCCACCCUCCAUCCGUGUAUUUUAAUUUUUCCGGGGAUUCUCUCUUUCCAAAUAAGAUCCCAGCUGCUGCGGUCGUCAACACUCGCAGUGGAGCUAGAGGUCUGGGGCCGCUCCCUUUUGUUGCCAUCUCUAGCCUGUAGGCACUCUUCACAGUAAAAUUGCCGGAGUUCUCAUAGUGCCAAGCCACACAAUCCACAGUCUCCCCUUUUGGUAUUCUUAUUCUGACAAUUUCAGAAGCAUCAAAAGGAUUGAAUAUCCUGUUGGUAAGUCCAUGGUUCCACUCUUUAGUGACCGGAUCAAUAAGUUGGUUUACCCAUCUCAGCCUCGGCCUCCAUGUGAAGUUAGCAACCUUUAGGCCCUCUUUCCUUGGGAUCCAUUGGUUCCUUUGGAUUUGGAUGUUGUUUCCAUUACCACCCACUCUCCAAAUUAGCCUUCUCUUCAGCAGCUCUAGGCCGAACUCAAUUCCUCUCCAGGUCGGAGAUGCAUCAUAUGCAAAAAAACCGUGUCUAAUAGUUCUCCUUUAGGGUAGUAUUUGACUUGAGGACCCUCGCACACAAACUGUCCGGAUGGUGGAUCAACCUCCAUCCAUUUCUUACCAGCAAUGCUUGGUUGAAUAAGUGCAUGUCCCUUAAACUGAUGCCUCCUCCUCUCCUUGGUUUUGUCAUAUUGUCCCAUUCAUCACCCCAAUAUAAGUCUCUAAUCAGUCUCUCAUACUUGUCAUAGAACCCCAUGGACACCUUAAACAAAACCAUAGUAAAGGUAGGUAGGGCUUGGACAAUUGAUUUUACAUGGACUUCGACAUAUGUCUGCCCGACCCGUUGGUGCAUCUUUUCAUGAACCUUUCCAUAUUCGAUAAAAUUAUCUUCCUUAAUUCUACUAUCGGGGGUAGGUAAGCCAAUGUAUUUUCUUUCAAAAGUUGAGGCCUCAACUUCGAGUACCUCUCUAAUGCCAUUCUGGAUAGGGUCCAGACAUUUCUCACUGAACAACAAAGAGCACUUAUUUGGGCUUACGAGCUGACCAGUGCCCCUCUAGAAAGUGGAUAGCAUGUAUUUUACCACCUCUGCUUGAUCAACUGAAGCUUUGAAAAAAAGAAGGCUAUCAUCCGCGAAGAGCAGAUUAGAAAUUCCUGGGCUUCCUCGAGCAACUUUAGCGGCAAGAUGUCGCCACCACUAACUUCCAUCUGCAGAAUCCGUGAUAGGCCAUGUGCCGCAAACAGAAAUAAGUAUGGGCUGAGGGGGUCACCUUGUCUAAGCCCACGGGUCAGUUGGAAUCUCUCUAGUAGUUCUCCAUUGCAUUCCACAGAGUAUCUCACGGACCGGACACGAACCAUAAUCCAUGCUAUCCAUUUUUUGCCGAACCCAUAUUGGUCCAAAACACCCUCCAAGAACCUCCAAUCCACCCUGUCGUAAGCCUUGGCGAGGUCAAGCUUGUAUGCACAGUGUGUGUUCGUAGGAUAACUGCUAUGCUGGAUUUUGUGGAAACAUUCAAAAGCAAUCGGUGCAUUAUCCGUAAUCAUUUGGCCGGGAAUAAACAUAAUCUGUGUCUCGGAUAAAAGGCCAUCCGAGAGGGGACGCAGCCGGUUGACCAAGCAUUUUGAGAGCACCUUGUAGAUGACAUUACAUAGACUAAUCGGUCUGAAAUCCUUCAACGAUCGUGGAUCAUUACCUUUGGGAAUGAGAACAAUGGCGGUGUCGUUUAGGCCCUUGAGCAUGAUUCCCUCAUCAAAGAAAUUAUGUACAACCUUCACUACAUCAGUCCUCAAAAGCCCCCAAUUCCUUUGGUAAAAUCAGGCAGGGAGACCAUCCGGUCCAGGGGCCUUUAGCGGUCCAAUCUGAAAAAGCGCAUUGCCGAUUUCCUUAUCAGUAAAUUCUUUCUCGAGUUCAUCAUCCAUUUCUUGGCUGAUCAUCCGUGUGAACAUGUCUAAUAGUUCGUGUGGGUUAACAUUCUUGUCCUCGGUAAACAGUUCCUUAAAGUAAUUUGUUUUCAUGCUCUCGAGGUCCUUCUCAACCCACUGACCUACUCCAUUUUGCACUUCCAUAAUGGUGUUUUGUUUUCGUCUGCAAGUAGCUCGCUCGUGAAACCAUUCCAUGUUCAUAUCCCCCUCACGUAAAUAUGUUGCUUUAGACCUCUCUCGCCACAUGAUCGCCUCGCGUAAGAGUAAUUCAACCAACUCAUCCGCAACCCUUUUUAUCUCCCUGUCAUUUGUUGCACUCUGCGAUUUAUUCAUGAGGGAUUGCAGUUUACUCCGGAGCUUUUUUUGUUUGCCUAGCUAGCAACUGAACCAAACUCCGAAUUACUCCAUUUGCCGAGCCCCUGCUGUAAUGCACACACCUUGUUCUGAACCUCUUGUCGUGUUGCAGCAGAUCCUCCCUUGCUCCAAAUUUCCUGAACCAACUCAUCCAUCGACCCCUCUCUCUCCCACAUAUGGCUUCGUAUCUGAACUCCUUUUUCUUUCUAUACACCAUGUUGCCUCCAAACUAAAGUAGAAGCGGGAGAUGGUCAGACCUUGCUGAACAAAAAUACUGAAUGUUAGCAUUUUGAGUUAUAUUCUAGAAUGUAUAUUUUUCACGUUGUAUGAGGGGUUUCCUCCACAUUUACCAUCUGUACUUGUAUAUAUANNNNNNNNNNNNNNNNNNNNNNNUAUAUAUAUAUAUAUAUUGGUCAUUUGCUUUCAGGGAAUACAAGUUGCAUAUUUCUAAUGGUAUUAGAGCAUAGGUAUUUUAGCACGCGCAACUCGUGCUUGAUCCUCUCCUCAUCGUCGGCACGUUUCUUUUGGUCCGGUUGUUGCUUCCUACUCCUCCAACUACCCAACCUCUCCGCCUUGUCCCGAUCCACCUCGCGUCGCUCGCGUCAAGCCGCUGCGAAGGCGCUUGAUCUCCGUAUCUCGUCGCUGCUCCUGUUUUCGCCUUGAGCCGCCGCAAAGGUGCCCGAUCUCUGCGCCCGUCNNNNNNNNNNNNNNNNNNNNNNNNNNNNNNNNNNNNNNNNNNNNNNCUCUGCGCCCGUCACUGCCCUCGUAGCCGAUCUUCACCGCCAAACACCGCCCUCGCGUUUUCCCCGGAUCCCGGACCGCCGACCUUGUCAGAUCUUUGCCGCUGCCGCCCCCUCCCUGGGUCUACAUCCUCCUUAGCACUCUCUUUUUUUAGGCAAAUGUCUUCCUAUUCUCUCCUAUAGGGUUGGAGAUUGUCUUCACAAGAGUAGUCCACUGAGGAUAGAUACCGUCACAUGGGUAGUCUCAUUUGUUGUAGUGGUGGCCACUAAUCACAAGAUUGAGCUCUGGGCAGUUGCCUUUUGCAAGCCCUGCAAACACCGGAGAGUGUUGAAAUACAUUGAUGUCGUUGUGAGAUCCGGCCAUGUCAAAGAANNNNNNNNNNNNNNNNNNNNNNNNNNNNNNNNNNNNNNNNNNNNNNNNNNNNNNUGUAAAAUCCAGAAAUGUUGAGCCAUGGCCUCAAAUAUGACAGUGGAAGCUUUCACAUGGCCCCUAUACUAUCCCUGCCAAGUAGAAGGGUAGUUCUUUCACUCGUAGUGCAUACAAUCUAUGCUACCAAGAAUCCCCAGAAAGCCCUUACUCGCAUUGAUCCCCAACAACAAGGCUGUAUCUACAAUAUUUGGCUCCCUCAAGUGCUCCGGGCCAAACACUGCUACUAGAGCCUUGCAAAACUUGUACAUGUACUCUAGUCAUGUGGAGUUGCUCAUUCGGACAUAAUGGUCAAUGAGACCAGCGAAUACUCUGUAUGCAAGCAUUCGAAUAGUCGUAGUUCUUUUCUGAUAAGAGGAGAAGACAAUCUUUCUGAUACAUGGCAAAACCGAGGGUGUUGACCUUUUCACACUUGGAGGGGAAAAGGAGAGAAAUCAAACAAACACUCAAGACAAUCUUCGAUCACACAUCUGCUAAACCCAUGAAACACAAGAGGAUGCAAUGAUUCGAGUCCAAUACGGGAUACAAGUAAAGAUGAUAGUUCUUCCCACUCAAAGAGAUGUUGCCUUGAAUCCUUAGAGGAUUUUUCCUAUGAUAGGGAUCUUCUCACAAAAAGGUCAUCUCCAUGGAGGAGGAAGUGGAAGGAGCAAUGCUCAACUAGCUAAGAGCCAAACAUAUGCUAAGCCUAGAUGGAGGAGUCCUUUAUAUAGUCUUAGGCGAGAGAGAGGGGAGAGAGGGGGCCUUCGGCCCGUGUCUGUCUAAGCAAGGGCCGAAUGUCUAGCCGGGGCCCUCAUGUCUGGGGCUUCUUGGGACACCAGAUGUCCGGACAGGAGAGACACAAGUCCGCGAGGUUCUGGACCCUCUUUGCUGGAUUUCCACUCGAGGUCUGGAUUUCUAAACGGGUGCCUUAUGUCCGGCUAGGGGGUGGAUGUAUGUUUAGCGGCCGGAUGUUCGGCCGCUGAAGCUUCAGCUGGCCUUCGAUUCUGGACUGGUGGCGCCGGAUUUCUGGGCCCUCGGCCCGAUGACCAACCGCUGGGAGGUCUUUGUGACUUCCUUUGGAGCUUGCCUUCAUCCAUCUUCUCGUUUGUCUCUGUGGUUACUUGUCCUUCACUCCAAGUGUCUCCGAGGUCGUCUUCAUGAUACCGAAGUAUGAAAAACAUUCCUCCUUGAGGUAGCGACCAUGUCUCAAGUGGACAGAACUAUGGAUCGGUAAGGAGAGAUGUCACCUCGAUUUCGAUGGCGCGUCUGCGAGCUCUUGUCAUAGGAUCACUUGGAGCUUGAGAGGGUGUUGUAGAAUCCAUGGGGAUGACCAUGGGAUGCUCCCCAUCACUUUCCGAGGUCCUCCUCCCUGCACUCGAAAUAGUUAUCGUAUACCCCAUCCCCUCCCAGAUACGGCUGAACACAUGUCUAGUCAUCCGAAAACGGCGCCUUAAUAGGUGGUGUUUGAAGAGGGGGUUAGGGGACUAGAAGUAAUCCUUUCAGAGUAGGCAAUGACAGCUCUCUUUGUUACGAUUCAGUGUCGGAGUAUGGCCCGGGAUCGAGCCAUUGAACACCAUUCACUCCCUACUCAUUGUUGGGAAACAUAGUAUAAACCAAAAAAAGGCCCUACAAUGGACUAGGAACACCAUGAACAUAAAAUAACGGUUACGAUCAAAUGGUUACCAACUUUGAGUUGCAGCAGAAGAAGAUGAGUCGGUGUAAAUCAUUGAUGAAGUCCCUCAAUCACUAGAUGAAUGAUCUAGUGAACCGCCCACAAACAAUCCCUCGAACGUAAGGUCGAAAGCACAACAUCUCUAAGAGUUGCAACGUAAGGUCUUCAUGAUCCGACAGUGCUUCACCGUGCAGGGCUAAUCAUCGCCUGGGAAUUAGAGGGAGGAUAUUAAAACCACACUCUGCUUCAAUUACGAGGAUCAGAUGAUUACAAUUAGAGGGAGGAGAUUAGAACCAUUCGUCGUAACAAGAAAUUGCAACAUACUCGUUUUGGUGGUGAUAAAUAGGUAUCACAUCGAGUAAAAUGUUUGUAGCAACAAACUAUUGCUACAAUUUGAACCUUUUGUGGCGAUACUCUAUUUCAAAAAAAACUUAGCUUGGUGGCGCUAAAUAGCUACGACAAUGGGCAAAAUAUUUGUAGCAAGAAGCUACUAUGACAAUGUAAACCUUGUGAGCCGAUACUCUAUUUCAACAAAACUUACUUUCAUGGUGCCACACAAUUAUUGCAUCGUGAAGAAAAAUAUGAUGCCAAGCUAUUGCGACAAUAUAAAGUGCUUGACUGCAACAUCCUAAUGCAACAAAACACAUAGGCAUGGCGGCUGAGAUUUGAAGCAAUACUACAUUUUUCGUAGUGCUAACAUGUGGCAACCGAAAGUGGGUUAUGUUAAUAGCCUAUUGCAACCAUAAAAAUAAAACAUGUAUUCAAUUACAAUAUUCAAAAUCAUACAUAUAAUAUCUAGAUUUAUAAAAUUCAUAAUUCUCGUAGCAAGUAUCCAUCAAGUGAACAAAUGUAAUUUAGCCAUCCAAAUUAAAUGUCAAGACUAAACUGUCCGUGUUCUCGAGUCCAGUCUAGAUAGUUCUUUGGAUCCUACAAUUAAGAAAUCGGAAAAAAGUUCUAGUUAAUGAGCCCAACAUAACAUAUGCCAUAUAAUAUUCCAACCCAUUGUUGAAAAGAAAUGGCGCGAGCCUACCUGGACUAAUACCGUGUCAGCAAGUAUGUAACUAAGGGAUGAGAAUACUUUUACAAGUGUAAAUUUCUAAAGCUAAGCACAAGUACAUCUACUAAAGCUUCCGAAAUUGAUUUAAGUUGUGACUCGAUAUAUAAUUUCAGUUAACUUCGCGUCCCUAGCUAGCACAUAUUUGGUUUUUGUUCAAGUUGUGACGCAAUGCAACAACAACAUAUGGUGAAAGAGAAGAAGCAGCUAUCUAAUUAUGAUGGUUGAUGACGUAUAAAAUGGAGGUGAACAUGAAGAUAAAGAAAGGUUAUGACUUGCCAUUGCUUCAAACAUCGAGAAUUCCUUGUUGCACCUUGUAUGAUCGCAUUUGGAGUCUUAUUAGGACUAGAUAUAUGUAAAAGAGUAUUUUGUAAGUUUGGAAUACUAUUUUCUUUGUCAACCUUCUUCGUAGGCACGGGUAUAUAGAAGUGCACUUUUGGAAAUGCAAGUAAGCAAAAUAAAUCAUACAAGGUCACAAACAUAUGGUUGUAAUCACUUGUUGGUUCCCAUAUGUUCUGCUCAAUUCUGCAAACUUUUCCAUCAAGUUUUCUUUUUCAAAUUCCAGUCUUGAUAUUCGCUACGCUUCCAACAAUCUUUCCCUUUCAGCAUGCUCUUCUUUUAACCUCUCCUCAAGUUGUUCUCUCUUAGCACGCUCCAAGUUUAUCCUCUCUUGUGUGUUUGCAUGUUCAACUUGUAAUUGAUCUUGCAAUUCGUUGACCAGUUGGCUGAGCUCAGAGUUUUGAUGUUGGGUGACUACUGUAGCACGAGCUUGCUCUUCAUUCUAGAUAUGAAACCUUUCAAAAUUAGUUGAAUGUUUGGUUGCGUAUCUCUACUUACGAGGCUGCGAUGACUUGCAUUACAAAGUGUCUUUGUAUGCGGUCUAAAAAAUAUUGUUUCUCUGCUCACUUGAAAGUGGACCUUGAGUUCCAGUUUCUUUGUUUUUCAACCUCUUGACAUGCUUUGUCCUAAACAUGAAAAGACCAAUUAUAGGUAUGGCAUCAAUAUUGACACUAUAAAAGAUGAAAAAAUAAUAACAUGAUCCAACAAUAACAUGAUCCAACGCAUGAAUAAUCCCAGCUCAUGAUGAAGCAUGCCAAAUGGACAUCAUUGAAUAACUAUAGAAUAACCGAAAGUCAGUGUGCUCGCGUAAACAUCAUGUGACUCUGUGUUAGACCAUGUUCCAUUAUUCGUGUGGGUGAGUUCCCACAUAACAAUAUAAUUUGGCUCUUCUUCGGUUUUUAAGUUUCUCUGAAAGUAAUAUAACAACGAGAUGCUUGAAACAUGAAACCAUAUUUAGCAGCGAGACAUACAUAUUUAGUUACACUCAUACCUUGUGAAACUUACUUGCGAGUAAGAUUUUGGUCCAAUUAUGUGCUUUAUCUUUUCUUUCUUAUGGUUAUCGGCGUUCUUUUGGACGCAUUCCUAUUAAUUAAUUGAAAACCAAACAUAAUCAACUAGACAAGAAAUUUGAUCUUAACACAUAAUAGAGAAACACUCAUCUUAGAGAUACCUGAAAUUUUGAAUCAGUCCCAAAGUACUCAAUCAUCCCUUCCGACUCUUUUGGUUGUAAAUCUUCCGGGAGAUUAGCCAUUCUAGUUGCCUUCAUUUUGUAUGCCUUGUAAGUGCAGCCUAGAAUUGAUUGUCAACCUUUAUAUCGCUCUUUCGUAAUUUUGAGAACUUUUUUCUUGUGUUUUUGGUGUAUCUUCCAUGUCACAUUUGUCCUGUGCAGCAUACAAUAAAUGAACAUACAUAAGCAAUGCAUUAUCGAUAGUAAAAAAGAUUACACAUGUCAAAAAGGUUUUACGUACUAUCGUAUAUGCAACAAUGAGUCAAUGUAUGAUAGGGUGAAUUUGCGACCAUGAUCCUCACUGCUAAAUGGAAAAAAAAGUUACCACUCAUUGGAGUGAGGACGUGGUCGGACAUUCAUCCUACCAUCCAUCGACUCAUUGUUGCAGAAAUGAUAGUGCGUACAACCUUUUUGUCAUGUGUUAUCUUAUUUUACCAUCGAUAAUGCACUGCUUAUGUAUGUUGAUUUGUUUUAUUUUGUACAAAACAAAUGGGACCUGAAAGAUACACCACAAGCAGAAGAAAAGUUCUAAAAAUUGCGAAAGAGCGAUAUAGAGGCUCGCGAUCAACUCUAGGCUCCACUUACAAGGCGUACAAAAUGGAUGCAACUAGAAUGGCUAAUCUACCGGAAGAUUUACAACCAAAAGAGUGGGAAUGGAUGACCGAGUAUUUUGACACUCAUUAAAAAUUUCAAGUUAUCUCUAAGAUCACUGUUUGUCUACUGUUUGUUAAAAUGAAAUGGCUUGUCUAACUGGUUAUAUUUGGUUUCAAUGAAUUGAUAGGAAUGCAGCCAAAAGAACUCCAGUAACCAUGAGAAAAGAAGACAAAAUAGAGAAUUGGAUCAAAAACUGACUCACAAGUAAGUUUUGAGAAUAUAUGAGUCUAACUAAAUAUGUAUGCCUCGCUGCUAAAUAUGGUUCCAUGUUUCAAGCAUCUCGUUGUUAUAUUACUUGCUGAGAAACUUGGAAACUGAAUAAGAGCCAGAUUGUAUUGUUUUGUGGGAACUCACCCACGCAAAGAAUGGAACAUGGUCUAACAUAGAGCCCGAGGAUGUUUACAUGAGUACACUGAUUUUUGGUUAUUCUAUAGUUGUUCAAUGAUGUGCAUUCGACAUGUUUCAUCAUCAGCUGGGAUUAUUCAUGCGUUGGAUCGUGUUAUUUUUGUUUCAUCUUUUAUAGUGUAAAUAUUGAUGCAAUAGCUACAAGUAUUCUUUUAAGUUUUCGGACAAAGCACGUCAAGAGGUUGAAAACGAAGAAACUAAAACUCAACGUCCACUUUUAAGUGAGCAAAGAAACAAUAUUUUCCAGAACGCAUAAAAAACACUCUGUAAUGCAAUCUAAGACUCGUGGUUACUGAUGCAUGUCCAAACUUUCAACUAGUACUGAAAGGUUUCGAAUCCAGAUUGAAGAGCAAGCUCGUGCUAUAGCAGUCACCCAACAGCAAAAUUGUGAGCUCAGCCACGAGGUCAAUGAAUUGCAAGAUUAACUAUAAGCUGAGCGUGCGAACACACAAGAGAGGAUUAACUUGGAGCAUACUGAGAGAGAAUAACUUGAGGAGAGGUUAAAAUAAGAGCAUGCUGAAAGGGAAAGAUUGUUGGAAGCGAAGCGAACAUCAAGACUGGAAUUUUAAAAAAAAAACAUGAUGGCAAAGUUCGCAGAAUCGAGCCAAUAGAUGAGAACCCAACAGGUGAUUACAGUCAUAUGCUUGCGACCUUGUAAGAUUUAUGUUGCUUACUUGCAUUGCUAAAAGUGCAGUUAUAUUUACAGGUGCCUACGAAGAGGAUUGCCAAAGAAAAUACUAACCGAAACUUGCAAAAUAGACUUUUACAGAGUAGUCCUUAUAAGACUCCAUGUGCAAGCCCAACUAUCAUUUCUUGAAGUGCGCUCAUACAAGUUGCAUGAAGGAAUUCUCGAAUGUUUAAAGCAAUGGUAAGUCACAACCUUGCUUUCUCUUCAUAUUCACCUGCAUUUUAUAUGUCAUUGGACUUCAUAAUUAGCUAGCUGCUUCUACUCUUUCACCAUGUGUUGUUGUUGCAUCAAGUCACAACUUGAACAAAACCAAACAUGUGCUAGAUAAGGACAUGAACUUAACUGGAAUUAUACAUCAAGUCGCUACUUAAAAUCAAUAGCGGAAGCUUUUACUAGAUGUACUUGUGCAUAUGCUUUAGACAUUUACACUUGUAAAAUUGUUUUGAUCCGUGAGUUCCAUGCUUGCUGGCACUGUAUUAAUCUAGUUCAUUUGACAACAUUUCUUUUUCAUGAUGGAGCUAGAAUAAUUGUAUGGCAUGUGUUAUGUUGGGCUAAUUAACUCAAACUUUUUUUGAGUCCUUGAUUACGGGAUCCAAAGAACUAGUUGGACUAGACUCGAGAUCACACACAGUUUAGUCGUGACACUUAAUUAGGAUGGCUAAACUACAUUUGAGUUUCAUUUGAUGGAUACUUGCUAUGAGAAUUAUGAAUUUUAUGAAUAUACACAUUAUAUGUAUGGUUUUAAAUAUUGUAAUUGAAGUUUUUGUAUUUUCUUUACGGUUAAAGGCUAUUACUACAACCCACUUUCGGUUGCCACAAGUUAGCACCACGAAAAUAGUGUUGCUUCAAAUCUCAGUCGCCAUGCCCAGCUGUUUUGUUGCACUAGGAUGUUGCAAGAGAGCACUUUCUAUUGUCACAAUAGCUUGGCACCACAUUUUUUUUCAUGAUUCAAUAAUUGUGUGACGCCACGAAAGUAAGUUUUGUCGAAAUAGAGUAUCGCCUCGAAAAGUUUACAUCGUCGCAGUAGCUUCUCGCUACAAACAUUUUUCCCGUUGCGAUAACUAUUUGGCGCCACCAAGCUAAGUUUUUUUGAAAUAGAGCAUCGCCAUGAAAAGUUUAAAUUGUCGCAAUAGUUUCUCGCUACAAACGUUUUACCCAUUGUGAUACCUAUUUAUCACCACCAAAACAAGUAUGUUGCAAUUUCUUGUUUUGUUGAAUGGAACAUUUGUUGUCAGAAAUUAAUGCCACAAGUGUAGCGAUUCGUGGAAAAAUGCAUAAUUCCACAAAAAUAAGGACAAUUGACAUAGUUUGUUGCCACAAAUGUCCAUCGCCAUGAACGAUUCCUUACAUGUUGCUUUAAAGCUAUCCCCACAAAUCAAAUGGUGGCAUCAGGUGAGUGUUGCGAGUGGAAAAUAUAUGGCAACCUCCCACAUGGAUGUUGUAAUAGCACACUUUAUUUUCACGACCGCCUUUUUGUGGAAAUAACGUAUUAUCACGCGACGGCUACCAACGAAUGUUGUUUCAUGGCAAUAGGUACUUAUCGCCACAAAUGAGCAUGUAUUGCGACGAUCGAUCAUGGUGCGAUAGACCCGGAUCCUUGUAGUUUACAACCAAUACAUGUUUCAUUGCAGUAUGAAGCCAUUUUUUGCAACAGUAUCCAUGACUAGCACCACAUGUUAGAAUUGUUGCAAUAUAUGUCAGGAUAUUACCACAAAGAUUUACAUUGUUACAAUACAUAGGCGCAAUUGCAACAAAAUGACUAAUUUCUGCAGCGUGACACACCUCUUGCAAUAUCACUACUAUAUUACAAUAUUGAUGCACCUUGUGGCAAUACAUGACUUCUAUUGCAACAAAAGGAGUACUUGGUGUGACAAAACGACAUUGUGGCAUUAUGUUGAUCCUAUUGCCAUGAACUGGAAUUCUGUGGUAAUAUCGUAUUUUAUUGCAACAAAAGAUAGUUGUAGCAAUCAAUUUUGUUGCAAUAGACCAUAAUCCUUGUAGUCCCCUUCCAAUUCGGCAUCACCCUUUGAUACGUACAUUUUGUACCAUGUUUCCUAUUAAUAUUUAUUUUGUUUAAGUCAUUAUUUCACUUUACGAUGCAAUCCUAAUGCCCUUUCUCUCUUAUUUUACAAAAUUCAUACAAAGAGGAAGAUUUCCCGUAACUGAAGUUGUGGAGUGAAUAGCACUAUGGAAGAAUUGGGUAUUCUCUAGAACUCCACAUGACCUGAAAAUUGAUGGAGAAUUAUUUUGAAAUAUAUUACAAAUAUGGAGAAGGAAAUACUAGGAGGGGGCCCAUAAAGGGGCCACGAGACUGGGGCGCACCCCUUUACCUCGUUGCCCCAACAGCCCUGUGGCACCCAUCUUAUCCUAUAUUAGCCUAUUUGACCUAAAAAAAUGAAGAGAGCAAUUUUGGGAUGAAGUGCCGCCCUCACGAGGUGGAUCCUGAACACGAGUACUUUUGCUCUCUGGCGAAGCAAUUCCGUCUGGGAAACCUCCCUCUGUGAGGGGGAAAUCAAAGCCAUCAUCAUCACCAAUGCUUCCUCCAUCGUGGGAGGACCAGUCUUUAGCAACAUAUUCGCCAACACCAUCUCAUAUCAUUAUGUAGUUCAUCUCUUGUACUCGAUCUUUGUUUCCAAACCUCACAUUGGUACCUAGGAGUUGCUAGUAGUGUUAAUUACACCUUGUAGUUGAUGCUAGUUGGUUUAUUUGGUGGAAGAUUAUAUGUUCACAUCCUUAAGCAUAUUCAUUACACCUCUGAUCUUGAACAUGAUGAUGAUUUGUAAGUAGUUACUUUCAUUCUCGAGGAUAUGGGACAAGUCUUGUUAUAAGUAAUCAUAUGAAGUUGGUAUUCGUUUGAUAUUUUGAUGAUGUGUAUGUUGGUCUUCCUUUAGUGGUGUAAUGUCAAUGUUGACUACACUACUAGAAAAAAGGAUGUUAGUGGCG
This 13568-nucleotide long non-coding RNA is filed under the name Hordeum vulgare. RNAcentral describes it as "long non-coding RNA (HVUL_LNC013034)". Lineage: Eukaryota; Viridiplantae; Streptophyta; Magnoliopsida; Poales; Poaceae. The record is from RNAcentral.